This 782-nucleotide ribosomal RNA is filed under the name uncultured bacterium. RNAcentral describes it as "bacterial SSU rRNA". It matches the Rfam family "Bacterial small subunit ribosomal RNA", at positions 8 to 796 of the family's 1533-position model. The record is from RNAcentral.
AGAGUUUGAUCCUGGCUCAGAAUCAACGCUGGCGGCGUGCCUAACACAUGCAAGUCGAGCGAGAAAAGGGGGGCAACUCCCUGAGUACAGCGGCGCACGGGUGAGUAACACGUGGGUAAUCUGCCCUGAAGUGGGGAAUAACACCGGGAAACCGGUGCUAAUACCGCAUACGAUCACGGAGUCUGCGGAUUUUGUGAUGAAAGGAGCAAUUCGCUUUAGGAGGAGCCCGCGGCUGAUUAGCUAGUUGGUGAGGUAAUGGCUCACCAAGGCUACGAUCAGUAUCCGGUCUGAGAGGACGGUCGGACACACUGGAACUGAGACACGGUCCAGACUCCUACGGGAGGCAGCAGUGGGGAAUUUUUCGCAAUGGGGGCAACCCUGACGAAGCAACGCCGCGUGGGUGAUGAAGUCUCUUGGGACGUAAAACCCUUUCGACGGGGAAGAAACCGCAAGGUUGACGGUACCCGUAGAAGAAGCCCCGGCUAACUCCGUGCCAGCAGCCGCGGUAAUACGGGGGGGGCAAGCGUUGUUCGGAAUUACUGGGCGUAAAGGGUGCGUAGGCGGUCCGUUAAGUUAGAUGUGAAAACUCUGGGCUCAACCCAGAGCCUGCAUCUAAAACUGGCGGGCUAGAGUUCUGGAGGGGAUAGCGGAAUUCCUGGUGUAGCGGUGAAAUGCGUAGAUAUCAGGAGGAACACCGGUGGCGAAGGCGGCUAUCUGGACAGAGUCUGACGCUGAGGCACGAAAGCUAGGGGAGCAAACAGGAUUAGAUACCCCCGUAGUCC